RNAcentral lists this long non-coding RNA (561 nucleotides) under Leguminivora glycinivorella. RNAcentral's name for it is "uncharacterized LOC125240152". The record is from RNAcentral. Lineage: Eukaryota; Metazoa; Arthropoda; Insecta; Lepidoptera; Tortricidae.
GGCUAUGCCUCAAUUGAUAAAGUGAACUAAUUGCCUACUUCAAAAGCAGUUUUGCAUGAAAGUCAACAUCUAAUUGGAAUUUACAAUGCCCGAUAUUUCUACACAUCUGCCACAAAUUUUAUGGAAAACAAUAUUUAUAGAAACUGAACAUACCUUGGUUAAACGUAUAUGAAAUGGGUAACCAUCCUCGAAGAAUAUCAACCAGCUGUCGGCAAUGUGCAGGUGGACUGAGGAAUUUUCCAGUGUAUCCUUUAUGGACUGUACUCCGUUCUAGCACUAUCCUCAAGUUUUACCCGAGAGGCCAUGCUUCAGGUUGGACCGUCUUCCAUAUAUCUACUGACUUCAUAUAAAUGAAAGUGUACUAAAGGCUCACUGAUCUACACUACCAGCUCAUGCUCAACGUUACUGAACAACAAAGUAAUCCGACAAUCAGACUGGACCCGGUCAUGUUAGAUACCAGAGGAAGACGAAAAUAUAAUUGAUUCUGUACUGAUGCAUAACUUCGCUCGGAACGCGGCAAGAAUUAACAAUGGAAGAAAAUACUACAGACUUGUUUAUUAA